CGCCAAUAGGUGAGACACCAACUCCGCUCUCUCCACAAAUGUGAUUUAGCUUUUUCCGCUCAAGCGUUCCAUACUGUGAAGUUGUACACAAAUGAGAUGCAUUAUCAAUCAUUUGAAAAAGUUCAGUAACCUUAGAAUCCAAAACCCUUCAACACCUUCUCAAAGUAAGAACAAACCUGCACUGACAAGAUGGACUUCAAUAAACCACUAAAUAAUUUCCAAGCCACAUUUCAGACUAUAUGAGUCUAUGGUCAAUUGGUGUUUUCAUGAUUGAUAUCCAGGAGCCACAGGGACAAGUGUCUUAGGGCCACCUACUGGAAAUUGCACAGCCUACAACUAAACAAAAGAUCACUAAAUGUUCAAUUUGUUUGAAUUGUGAUAAUUUGGUAAGCAAAGGCUUCAAUGGAUUUCAUGAAAGAGAGAUGCUCUCACUGACUUAACAGGGUCCUUUUAUCAAAGUUUAUUACUGUACCAUGGGCCAUUGCCGCAGUUGACGUCUCGUUCUGCCCAAUGUAACCCUGGGUGGUUAUAAACAGAGCAAAACCUGAAUCCUGUUUCCCGCUCGAGGCUGGAGUGUAAGGACCACAAAAGCUAAUUACAAAUGGAUUUAAAUCUUUAUUUAGCCUAAUACAGUACAGUGCAAUGGUUAACCUUAAUCCAGUGUUACCUGUGUGAACUCUGGGUCGAACAUGAUUGGAGAAACUAGCCGACAGCUUGUGGUGUAAGCUUUGGGGGCGAAACCCUUGUGACUUCCCUCUGUUGUGUCUGUCUGUAGCAAUGGGCCCUACAGUACUAAGCACUGCACUACCAACCUCAUAGGGGAAGUGUUUACAUACAAUGAUUACUUUUCACACUUCAUCAUAAAUAAAACUGUAAUAGUACAUCAGAACCCCUUUUAAGAAUCUUAAGAUACAAUAUGUCUGAUUGAAGGAAGGGGUCUUUAAAUAUUGAUGCUUGGUUUUAGAGAAGUAACAUCUAACAUAAAUCUUCUUGAGCUAGAAAAUGCCCCUCAUCUCUUCUGGCCUUCCGUCUCUGCCCGUCUGCGUCUGUCUGAGACAGCAUUGCUCCUUAAGCGUUGUAAGAGGAAGAGGAAACAUUGCCACCGUGGCCUGUCCAGUUGGUGUGGAUGUACUUGCCAGGGUUUGACAGAAGUUCAUACGUGUGCGCUCCAAAGUAGUCCCUCUGGGCCUAAAGUGACAAACACACAGGGUUAAGAGUUGCCUCAGUAAAAUGUUGUUUUAUACCUUCUAUAUUUUUGCCAAUAAAGCGACGCAAGACGCUCUCGCAGAAGUGGACACCAGAACAGCCCGGCUGGCACAUAACAUUUUUGUAAUGUUCUGCAACGUUUUCACAACUUUGUAAAACGUUUCCUUGCUAGCUGGGCGUAUGGGUGGGCCUAAAGGCUGCAGUAUCCAUUUAAAUAUGGUAGUAACAUCAUCGUCUUAGGGUCUUAAAGUCCACCAGCCUCCCCCUGCAUCUAAACAAACACUACCCUUAGCUAACAUCCACACGUGACAAGACCGUUUUAAUCUCCUUCACUUUGACAUAUGUUCUUGUAGGGGGAUCUUUGUGCCCUGAAGAGAGUGGUGUGUUGUGUCACUGAGUUGCUCCUUAAGCAUGGUAAGAGGAGACGCUUCCACCGUGGCAUCCAAUGUGUUGUUACCUGGAGGAGGUUAGCCGGGAGCAUGUCGUGUCUGUAGCCGUCGUAGAAGGACAAGGCGGUGGUGAAACAAGGCAUAGGGAUCCCCUGCUGCACUCCAAUGCUGACCGUCCGGCGCCACGAGUCCUACAGCCAUGACAAAGACAAGCACACGCAUGAACAAAAGCACACAGAAUAAAUCGCUAACCCUCUGGGAUUUGGGAACAUCAGGGUGAAUACAGUUAUUUCAAGUUUAUUAGACAAGAUCAUUGCAAAGCAAUAUGACAUGAACACUUAUAAUCACAUAAUUAGAUAGCUACAAGGGGUUUAUUUAACGCAGAGACCAAAUACAGUAUAACUUUGUAAAUGUUGCCCUGUCUUGGGCCAUACCAUGUACAACACUGCGAUUAGAUUGCAGUAUGAAUAAGAAGCCCAUGACAUGCGUAUCAUCUAUAUUCCAAAAACACAUUUCCACCAAUAACUAACAGCCCCAUCAUAUUCUCCCUUUGUGGGCUGGGAAAUGGUAUGUAUCAAUAUAGCAGUGGGGUGGUAACUUCUUUUUCAAAGAGGAAACAGCCAUGUGUUGCUAACGUGGCCACAAAGGGGUGGGCUUUCUUUCAUCACUUCCUACUCCCCUAGGUGCAGAUUGAGGAUCAGCUUCCCUUCCCCCAAUCCUAAACUUAACCAUUAUGGGGGGAAAAAGGUUCAAAAUGACCCAAGAUAAGCAUUUCAGGGCAGAUUAACCCUACUCUCCUUAACUGUACCUGGCAAUCCUGUACGGCAUUACUGAAGAAGGUAUCCAACAGCAGAUUCUGCAGCUCAGCAUCCCUGUCAAAGGCCUCUUUGAUCUUCCCCAGGAAAACACUGGAG
Molecule: long non-coding RNA, 2509 nt
Filed under: Salmo salar (Atlantic salmon)
Lineage: Eukaryota; Metazoa; Chordata; Actinopteri; Salmoniformes; Salmonidae
Description: lncRNA (ENSSSAG00000112312.1)
Source: RNAcentral